GCCUAGCUAGCUCGGUUGGUAGAGCGUGUGCCUUGUAAGCGCUAGCUCGCGGGCUCGAUUCCCGCCCGGGGCG
This 73-nucleotide transfer RNA is filed under the name Diaphorina citri (Asian citrus psyllid). It matches the Rfam family "tRNA". From Rfam's summary of the family: Transfer RNA (tRNA) molecules are approximately 80 nucleotides in length. The record is from Rfam by way of RNAcentral. Lineage: Eukaryota; Metazoa; Arthropoda; Insecta; Hemiptera; Psyllidae.